CUACCCAUAAUAUAUUUGAAUAAGGCAUCUUAUUAAUAUUAAAGCUUCGGCACUUGAUGAUGGGUGUGCGGCUGAUUAGAUAGUUGGCGGGGUAACGGCCCACCAAGUCUACGAUCAGUAGCUGAUGUGAGAGCAUGAUCAGCCACACGGGCACUGAGACGACGGCCCGACUCCGUACGGGAGGCAGCAAGUAAGGAAUAUUGGACAAUGGACGAAAGUCUGAUCCAGCCAUGCCGCGUGAAGGAUUAAGGUCCUCUGGAUUGUAAACUUCUUUUAUAUGGGACGAAAAAAGGGCAUUCUUGUUCACUUGACGGUACCAUAUGAAUAAGCACCGGCUAACUCCGUG
RNAcentral lists this ribosomal RNA (346 nucleotides) under uncultured bacterium. RNAcentral's name for it is "bacterial SSU rRNA". It matches the Rfam family "Bacterial small subunit ribosomal RNA", at positions 164 to 507 of the family's 1533-position model. The record is from RNAcentral.